This 412-nucleotide RNase P RNA is filed under the name Arachidicoccus ginsenosidivorans. RNAcentral's name for it is "Sphingobacteriaceae bacterium Gsoil 809 Bacterial RNase P class A". It matches the Rfam family "Bacterial RNase P class A". Rfam says of the family: Ribonuclease P (RNase P) is a ubiquitous endoribonuclease, found in archaea, bacteria and eukarya as well as chloroplasts and mitochondria. Its best characterised activity is the generation of mature 5'-ends of tRNAs by cleaving the 5'-leader elements of precursor-tRNAs. Lineage: Bacteria; Pseudomonadati; Bacteroidota; Chitinophagia; Chitinophagales; Chitinophagaceae. The record is from Rfam by way of RNAcentral.
CUAUAGACCCGCGCUAUCGCGGCCGGCUUUUCUUAUUGAAAACGACCGGUCGAGGAAAGUCCGGACAGCAUAGAGCAGCUUACCGGUGAAAUACCGGGGUCAGGUUGACUGAUCACAGCCAGCACCACAGAAAAUAACCGCCCGCCUAGUCCUCUUUUUGGGGGGCCAAAGCAGGUAAGGGUGAAAACGUACGGUAAGCGCGUACGGGAAGCAUUAGCAAUAAUGUUUUCGGGUAAGCCUUAAGCGCUGCAAUGUCACAUAUAGUCGGGGUAGAGAGCGGCUCGCUCGAUGUUUUGUUCUUUAGGGAACCAUCACAACCUGAUGGGGUAGGCAGCUACAUCAAAACAGUAAUGUUUUGGGCAGAUAAAUGAUAGUGUAGAAACAGAAUCCGGCUUACGAGGUAUAUAGCAAU